Oncorhynchus gorbuscha (pink salmon) is the source of this 303-nucleotide long non-coding RNA. RefSeq lists it as uncharacterized. The record is from RefSeq and is a predicted model, not a curated record. The transcript is spliced from 3 exons. Lineage: Eukaryota; Metazoa; Chordata; Actinopteri; Salmoniformes; Salmonidae.
AUCUUCAGUCCAGUGCACGAGACAAACAGCGAAAGAAGGGAGGACAAGGUGGAUCGUCUGGAGGCGAGGAUGGAGACCGUAAACCAAAGUUUCAUUUACAGGUUAAAAACAUGAAGGAUGAUAUGAUGGACAGGUUCGCUAGUAUCCGUAUCCCGGGCAGUAAGAAGGAGCGUCCUCACCUCCCUCACGUCAAACACUCCUCCUCGUCUGAAUGGUCUUCCUCCGCCGCUGAGUUUGAGGACCUGUCCUCCAAGAUCACCUCAGAACAGGAGAUACUGGGCCUCUUCGAGAAGAUGAUGGUAG